RNAcentral lists this ribosomal RNA (1356 nucleotides) under uncultured bacterium. RNAcentral's name for it is "bacterial SSU rRNA". It matches the Rfam family "Bacterial small subunit ribosomal RNA", at positions 28 to 1381 of the family's 1533-position model. The record is from RNAcentral.
AUUGAACGCUGGCGGCAGGCUUAACACAUGCAAGUCGAACGAUGACUAACUAGCUUGCUAGUUAUGAUUAGUGGCGGACGGGUGAGUAACAUUUAGGAAUCUGCCUAGUAGUGGGGGAUAGCUCGGGGAAACUCGAAUUAAUACCGCAUACGACCUACGGGUGAAAGGGGGCGCAAGCUCUUGCUAUUAGAUGAGCCUAAAUCAGAUUAGCUAGUUGGUGGGGUAAAGGCCCACCAAGGCGACGAUCUGUAACUGGUCUGAGAGGAUGAUCAGUCACACCGGAACUGAGACACGGUCCGGACUCCUACGGGAGGCAGCAGUGGGGAAUAUUGGACAAUGGGGGAAACCCUGAUCCAGCCAUGCCGCGUGUGUGAAGAAGGCCUUUUGGUUGUAAAGCACUUUAAGCAGGGAGGAGAGGCUAAUGGUUAAUACCCAUUAGAUUAGACGUUACCUGCAGAAUAAGCACCGGCUAACUCUGUGCCAGCAGCCGCGGUAAUACAGAGGGUGCGAGCGUUAAUCGGAAUUUACUGGGCGUAAAGCGAGUGUAGGUGGCUCAUUAAGUCACAUGUGAAAUCCCCGGGCUUAACCUGGGAACUGCAUGUGAUACUGGUGGUGCUAGAAUAUGUGAGAGGGAAGUAGAAUUCCAGGUGUAGCGGUGAAAUGCGUAGAGAUCUGGAGGAAUACCGAUGGCGAAGGCAGCUUCCUGGCAUAAUAUUGACACUGAGAUUCGAAAGCGUGGGUAGCAAACAGGAUUAGAUACCCUGGUAGUCCACGCCGUAAACGAUGUCUACUAGCCGUUGGGGUCCUUGAGACUUUAGUGGCGCAGUUAACGCGAUAAGUAGACCGCCUGGGGAGUACGGCCGCAAGGUUAAAACUCAAAUGAAUUGACGGGGGCCCGCACAAGCGGUGGAGCAUGUGGUUUAAUUCGAUGCAACGCGAAGAACCUUACCUGGUCUUGACAUAGUGAGAAUCCUGCAGAGAUGCGGGAGUGCCUUCGGGAAUUCACAUACAGGUGCUGCAUGGCUGUCGUCAGCUCGUGUCGUGAGAUGUUGGGUUAAGUCCCGCAACGAGCGCAACCCUUUUCCUUAUUUGCCAGCGGGUUAAGCCGGGAACUUUAAGGAUACUGCCAGUGACAAACUGGAGGAAGGCGGGGACGACGUCAAGUCAUCAUGGCCCUUACGACCAGGGCUACACACGUGCUACAAUGGUAGGUACAGAGGGUUGCUACACAGCGAUGUGAUGCUAAUCUCAAAAAGCCUAUCGUAGUCCGGAUUGGAGUCUGCAACUCGACUCCAUGAAGUCGGAAUCGCUAGUAAUCGCAGAUCAGAAUGCUGCGGUGAAUACGUUCCCGGGCCU